UACGGGAGGCAGCAGUGGGGAAUAUUGCACAAUGGGCGAAAGCCUGAUGCAGCUAUGCCGCGUGUAUGAAGAAGGCCUUAGGGUUGUAAAGUACUUUCAGCAGGGAGGAAGAAUAAAACUAAUAAUUUAUUUGUGACGUUACCUGAAGAAGAAGCACCGGCUAACUCCGUGCCAGCAGCCGCGGUAAUACGGAGGGUGCAAGCGUUAAUCAGAAUUACUGGGCGUAAAGAGCGCGUAGGUGGUUUUUUUAAGUCAGAUGUGAAAUCCCUAGGCUUAACCUGGAACUGCAUUUUGAAACUGAAAACUAGAGUAUCGUAGAGGGAGGUAGAAUUCUAGGUGUAGCGGUGAAAUGCGUAGAUAUCUGGAGGAAUACCUGUGGCGAAAGCGGCCUCCUAAACGAAUACUGACACUGAGGUGCGAAAGCGUGGGGAGCAAACAGGGAUUAGAUACC
RNAcentral lists this ribosomal RNA (451 nucleotides) under uncultured bacterium. RNAcentral describes it as "bacterial SSU rRNA". It matches the Rfam family "Bacterial small subunit ribosomal RNA", at positions 340 to 786 of the family's 1533-position model. The record is from RNAcentral.